CCUACGGGUGGCAGCAGUGAGGAAUAUUGGUCAAUGGGCGGGAGCCUGAACCAGCCAAGUCGCGUGAGGGAAGACGGUCCUAUGGAUUGUAAACCUCUUUAGGCGGGGAGCAAUGCCGGGCACGUGUGCCCGGAGGGAGAGGACCCGCAGAAUAAGCAUCGGCUAACUCCGUGCCAGCAGCCGCGGUACUAAGGAGGAUGCGAGCGUUAUCCGGAUUGCUGGGGUUGAAAGGGUGCGUAGGCGGAUUUUGAAGUCAGCGGUCAAAUGUCCGGGCUCAACCCGGGCCGGCCGUUGAAACUGGGGAUCUUGAGUGGGCGAGAAGUAUGCGGAAUGCGUUGUGUAGCGGU
This 347-nucleotide ribosomal RNA is filed under the name uncultured bacterium. RNAcentral describes it as "partial 16S ribosomal RNA". It matches the Rfam family "Bacterial small subunit ribosomal RNA", at positions 338 to 682 of the family's 1533-position model. The record is from RNAcentral.